AAUUAUAGUUACAAUCAUAAGAUACAAACAAGUGAUCAUUCAUAAGAUACCAAUAGAAGGUAGUAGGAAAAAUGAGGAUAAAAGCAAUACAACCACACUACAUGGGUAAACAGCUUUAAAAUACAGCAAACGUUUAGCAGGGAAACGCUACUUUAACCUCAAAACAAUUUAGAAUGACUCAAGCCCGUCUUACUCAUGAGUUGAGAAGAGGUGGAGUUUUAAGAACAGGGGAGGAAAAAAUGUUGCCAAGGUAUUUUAUACUGCGAGUGCCGACAUGGCCUCUGGGCUUGCUUAGGCAAGCAUGCGCCAGCCCAUCCCCUCGAAUCCAAUGUUUUGGGCCGUCAGCAAUGGCAGCUUGGAAAUACUUUGAAGUGUGAAAUAUUUCCUUGUAACGGGGUUUAACCUCUUUAAUUCCCCCUCCUCCGAUUCCUGGGCUCGUCGCUUGUGAGAGGUCUUAGAGGCGCCCUUUCGCGAAGCUCUUUGCAAGCCAGAUUCGGCGGGGAAAGGGCUUUUGCUUGAAACAAAUUGAAUCUGGAGGUCCCGAAAUCCAAGGUGCAAAAGUCAGCCUCUGCGAGUCUGUACUCCGGAAGGAAGGGAAUUCUGCUUAAGGCUCCUUAGAAAGCGACAGAGAAAGCGCAAUUUUGAGCCAAGAACGGAGGCUCUUCUCUCUGUCAUUGGGGUUUGGGUCAUAAAAACCUGGAGGAGGUGAUCGGCUUCUUUAUUUGCUCAGUCACAAAGGUACACUUUUCUUCUGAUGCUGCUGCCCUUGAAAAA
Pseudonaja textilis is the source of this 774-nucleotide non-coding RNA. The record is from RefSeq and is a predicted model, not a curated record. NCBI's taxonomy places the organism in Eukaryota, Metazoa, Chordata, Lepidosauria, Squamata, Elapidae.